AGAGUUUGAUCCUGGCUCAGAUUGAACGCUGGCGGCAGGCCUAACACAUGCAAGUCGGGCGGUAACAGGGAGAAGCUUGCUUCUCCGCUGACGAGCGGCGGACGGGUGAGUAAUGUAUGGGGAUCUGCCUGAUGGCGGGGGAUAACUACUGGAAACAGGUGCUAAUACCGCAUAAUGUCGCAAGACCAAAGAGGGGGACCUUCGGGCCUCUUGCCAUCGGAUGUGCCCAGAUGGGAUUAGCUUGUUGGUGAGGUAAUGGCUCACCAAGGCGACGAUCCCUAGCUGGUCUGAGAGGAUGAUCAGCCACACUGGAACUGAGACACGGUCCAGACUCCUACGGGAGGCAGCAGUGGGGAAUAUUGCACAAUGGGGGAAACCCUGAUGCAGCCAUGCCGCGUGUGUGAAGAAGGCCUUCGGGUUGUAAAGUACUUUCAGCGGGGAGGAAGGCGUUGUGGUUAAUAACCACAGCAAUUGACGUUACCCGCAGAAGAAGCACCGGCUAACUCCGUGCCAGCCGCCGCGGUAAUUC
This 529-nucleotide ribosomal RNA is filed under the name uncultured bacterium. RNAcentral's name for it is "bacterial SSU rRNA". It matches the Rfam family "Bacterial small subunit ribosomal RNA", at positions 8 to 526 of the family's 1533-position model. The record is from RNAcentral.